This 178-nucleotide unclassified non-coding RNA is filed under the name uncultured Ophiocordycipitaceae. Its description in RNAcentral is "sequence contains ITS1". Lineage: Eukaryota; Fungi; Ascomycota; Sordariomycetes; Hypocreales. The record is from RNAcentral.
CCGAGUUGCACCGACUCCCAAACCCCUGUGAACCUACCACACGUUGCUUCGGCGGACCGCCCCGGCGCCCCUCGCCCCCCCCGGGCAGGCGGCCCGGAGCCAGGCGCCCGCCGGGGGACCCAAACUCUUGCCUUCGCUCCGGCGGAAUCUUCUUCUGAGUCGCGAAACGAAUGAAUCA